UACAGAGGCCUCAAGCGUUGUUCGGAUUCAUUGGGCGUAAAGGGUGCGUAGGCGGCGCGGUAAGUCGGGUGUGAAAUCUCGGAGCUUAACUCCGAAACUGCAUUCGAUACUGCCGUGCUUGAGGACUGGAGAGGAGACUGGAAUUUACGGUGUAGCGGUGAAAUGCGUAGAUAUCGUAAGGAAGACCAGUGGCGAAGGCGGGUCUCUGGACAGUUCCUGACGCUGAGGCACGAAGGCCAGGGGAGCAAACGGG
Molecule: ribosomal RNA, 253 nt
Filed under: uncultured bacterium
Lineage: Bacteria
Description: partial 16S ribosomal RNA
Rfam family: Bacterial small subunit ribosomal RNA
Source: RNAcentral